Molecule: long non-coding RNA, 1980 nt
Filed under: Homo sapiens (human)
Lineage: Eukaryota; Metazoa; Chordata; Mammalia; Primates; Hominidae
Description: HSALNT0123891
Source: RNAcentral
UAGAGAUGGGGUUUCACCAUGUUGUAGUGAGCUGGUCUCAAACUCGUGGCCUCAAGUGAUCCACCUGCCUCACCCUCAUCACCUGCCAAGUCCUACCCAUUCUAACCCUGAUAGCUCUUAAAUCAGGUCUUUCCACCUCAACCUCAUUAUCACUGCUCUAGAGCUCAAGCCUUCAGUGUCCUUUCACUUCCUGAAUUUACUGUCUUAGUGCUCUUGCUCACAUUGUAUUCUUUGCCCAAAAUGCUCUUACCACUCCCCUUCUUCUUCUGUCUAUAGGGCAAGUUAAAUGGCCCCAUAUAGUGGUAUAGGUUGUUCACUGCACUGAGACUAUCCAUCACCACCUCUACCUCAUAUGUGAAAGGACUUUUGCUAAAGGAACAUUCCUGUCCUUGCUUUCCAUCCUUGUUUCUCCUCUCUCAGUAUUUUCUGCUGUGCUCCAUAGUAAUUUUCUGGGGAUAGGGUUUAUCUGAGAAAGUGUGUGCAUGGGUGAAGACCUAGGGGGUCUGGUAUUACCUAUGACUAGGGGUCUUGAGUCUAUCUAAGGCAGGAGUGAAUGUCAGGAUGCCCACUGAGGCUUUGUUUUUUGUCUUGUUUUUUUCCAUCAUCAUCCCUUUCAUUUCCUUUUCCUGUCUUACUGCAUUGGCUAGGAUCUCCAGUGCAAUGCUAAAUACAAGUUGUGACAGUGGACAGCAACCACCUCUACUCAAUAAUAAGGCUGAUGUUUUAUCAGCCUUAUUAUCAGCCAUCUGAUGUCUAUAUCUAGUUCUCAAUUUGUUCUGAAUGUGUGAGGGAGAUACUACAGGCCUCUGUAUUCGUUUGUUCUUGCACUGCUAUAAAGAAAUGCCUGAGACUGGGUGAUUUAUAAAGGAAAGAGGUUUAAUUGGCUCACGCUUCUGGAGGCUGUACAGGAAGCAUGGCUGGAGGGGCCUCUGGAAACUUACAAUCAUGGCAGAAGGAUGAAGGAAAAGCAGGCACGUCUUCACAUGGCCAUAGCAAAGGGAAGAGAGAGAGAGGGGGAGGUGCUACACAUUUUAAACCACCAGAUCUCACAAUAACUCACUCACCAUCACGAGAACAGCACCAAAGGGGAAACCCCCCCCACAAUGAUCCUGUCACCUCUCACCAGGCCUCACCUCCAACUUUAGGGAUUACAAUUUGACAUGAGAUUUGGGCAGGGGCACAGAACCAAACCAUUUCAACCUCCCAGAAGUCCAUUUUACAGAUGAGGAACUGUGAGGUAACUCACCCAAGGUCACACAUUUAUUAAGAGGCAAAGGUCUUAUGUGGAUCUCUGCCAGUUUGACUUCAAAGCCCAUAAUCUAAACUACUAUGCUAUAAAGUCUUCCAUAAAACAUAGUCUAAGGGAACAGUCAUUUAAUAGCGUGAUGCUGGAGUGAGAUCAGGGAUACACACGGUUGGAAUAGGCUACAAAGGAGCGAUUAUGUAUAAGAACCAAUCCUACCUAAAAAUGCAAGCCAUGAUAACACAAGCACUACACAACAAUGGGAAAUGGGGCAGGCAUUUGAGGGGGGAGGAAAUUAGCUAACACUUUAUAUCUAACACUAAAAUGACCUCCAGACAGAUUAUAAAGUUAAAACUUACAUAAAUAAGUAAUACAAUUCUAGACUAGCUAGUAGGAAAUAAAUUCUUUUUAGCCUCUGGAAAAGCAUUCAUAAAUUUUCCUUAACUUCCUUAACGUUCCUGAAACUUCCUAAGGAGUUUUAUAAAUGUUCUAGCAAAAGAAGAAAUCACACGGAAAAAGACAAACCUGUUUGGCCAUGUGGUGAGCAGUUUUGUGGGGUGGCGAGGGGGUCCCCAGGAGCACCACUACUGCAGACAUGUGCAGGAGUGACCAACCGAGCAGGAGGAAGCCACAGCGACCAGCAGUGUCCGUCAUUUUUGAAGACCGAGAAAUGACAACAAUAUCAUGCACCCAUUGGUCUCCCACAGGAGUGCUCCUUUGGGGCCAGGCACGGUGGC